Molecule: microRNA precursor, 103 nt
Filed under: Drosophila pseudoobscura
Lineage: Eukaryota; Metazoa; Arthropoda; Insecta; Diptera; Drosophilidae
Description: microRNA dps-mir-2570 precursor
Source: miRBase by way of RNAcentral
GCGUCUUGCAUGUGGGACAGGUAGUAUGGGUCUUGACAUGUGACUCAAUACAAGUUUUGUGAAACUCGUGGCUGCACUUUGUUUUCAAUGUAGGAGCCGAAGC